GAAAUCAAGAAAAAGAUAAUACAGCUUCUACAUCAGGAGAUUCACAAGAUCACAGGCUAAUUUUCAAGGAGUGUGGCUGACUGAGUCACUGCAGAUGCUUAAGGGCUGAAGUUGUGGAGGUAGCGCUUUACACUACGGCUCUUUGUCCUCCUGAUGGAAAAAUCCAGAUGGAAAGAAGUGUAGUUCAGAAGGAAAUGAUCAUGGGCCUAUUUUCUCUUGGGUUUGAAGAGUUUGAAUGAGCAGAAUGGACAACAAAUUAGGAAUGUAUCCUAAAGGAGUGUCUAACACAUUUGUUGCCUUCAUUUAACCAAAUGAUCGAGGAAUGACUGGAGCAUACAAAAUUCAGAAACCUUCUACACCCUAAACAGGUUAUGGAACUCCCGAAAUUACAGUGCCUUUCUGGAGCUCUAAGUCAUCUGUGCUGUUCACAUCUGUGCUGCAGAUCACUGUGGAUAAAUGACUGAGUCCUGUCAGCCAGCUGCAGUUUUAUUUUGUUUCCUACGGGCAUCAGAAAAGAAUAAUGCUGCAACUGAAAUGUUUUGCAAUGAUUGAUAUGAGGAUUGAUAUGAGGAUUGACAGGACGAGGCUCC
Long non-coding RNA from Manacus vitellinus (golden-collared manakin), 590 nucleotides. RefSeq lists it as uncharacterized. The record is from RefSeq and is a predicted model, not a curated record. NCBI's taxonomy places the organism in Eukaryota, Metazoa, Chordata, Aves, Passeriformes, Pipridae. The transcript is spliced from 4 exons.